GAUGAGGUGUCCGAGAGGUUAAGGAGAUGGACUGCUAAUCCAUUGUGCUUUGCACGCAUGGGUUCAAAUCCCAUCCUCAUCG
Molecule: non-coding RNA, 82 nt
Organism: Oryzias latipes (Japanese medaka)
Lineage: Eukaryota; Metazoa; Chordata; Actinopteri; Beloniformes; Adrianichthyidae
Source: Rfam